Molecule: ribosomal RNA, 253 nt
Filed under: uncultured bacterium
Lineage: Bacteria
Description: partial 16S ribosomal RNA
Rfam family: Bacterial small subunit ribosomal RNA
Source: RNAcentral
UACGGAGGGUGCGAGCGUUACCCGGAAUCACUGGGCGUAAAGCGUCCGCAGGUGGCAAUUCAAGUCUGCUGUUAAAGGUCAGGGCUCAACCCUGAACAGGCAGUGGAAACUGAAUAGCUAGAGUGCGGUAGGGGCAGAGGGAAUUCCCAGUGUAGCGGUGAAAUGCGUAGAGAUUGGGAAGAACACCGGUGGCGAAAGCGCUCUGCUAGGCCGUAACUGACACUCAUGGACGAAAGCUAGGGGAGCGAAUGGG